GGCGGACGGGUGAGUAAUGCUUGGGAACAUGCCUUGAGGUGGGGGACAACAGUUGGAAACGACUGCUAAUACCGCAUAAUGUCUACGGACCAAAGGGGGCUUCGGCUCUCGCCUUUAGAUUGGCCCAAGUGGGAUUAGCUAGUUGGUGAGGUAAUGGCUCACCAAGGCAACGAUCCCUAGCUGGUUUGAGAGGAUGAUCAGCCACACUGGAACUGAGACACGGUCCAGACUCCUACGGGAGGCAGCAGUGGGGAAUAUUGCACAAUGGGCGAAAGCCUGAUGCAGCCAUGCCGCGUGUGUGAAGAAGGCCUUCGGGUUGUAAAGCACUUUCAGUCAGGAGGAAAGGGUGUGAAUUAAUACCUCACAUCUGUGACGUUACUGACAGAAGAAGCACCGGCUAACUCCGUGCCAGCAGCCGCGGUAAUACGGAGGGUGCGAGCGUUAAUCGGAAUUACUGGGCGUAAAGCGUAC
This 471-nucleotide ribosomal RNA is filed under the name uncultured Pseudoalteromonas sp. RNAcentral describes it as "bacterial SSU rRNA". It matches the Rfam family "Bacterial small subunit ribosomal RNA", at positions 97 to 570 of the family's 1533-position model. The record is from RNAcentral. Lineage: Bacteria; Pseudomonadati; Pseudomonadota; Gammaproteobacteria; Alteromonadales; Pseudoalteromonadaceae.